This 576-nucleotide ribosomal RNA is filed under the name uncultured eukaryote. RNAcentral's name for it is "SSU rRNA". It matches the Rfam family "Eukaryotic small subunit ribosomal RNA", at positions 203 to 784 of the family's 1831-position model. The record is from RNAcentral.
UAUUUAUUAGAUAAAAAACCAAUGCCCUUCGGGGCUCCUUGGUGAAUCAUAAUAACUUAACGAAUCGCAUGGCCUUGCGCCGGCGAUGGUUCAUUCAAAUUUCUGCCCUAUCAACUUUCGAUGGUAGGAUAGUGGCCUACCAUGGUAUCAACGGGUAACGGGGAAUUAGGGUUCGGCUCCGGAGAGGGAGCCUGAGAAACGGCUACCACAUCCAAGGAAGGCAGCAGGCGCGCAAAUUACCCAAUCCCGACACGGGGAGGUAGUGACAAUAAAUACUGAUACAGGGCUCUUUUGGGUCUUGUAAUUGGAAUGAGUACAACUUAAAUCCCUUAACGAGGAACAAUUGGAGGGCAAGUCUGGUGCCAGCAGCCGCGGUAAUUCCAGCUCCAAUAGCGUAUAUUAAAGUUGUUGCAGUUAAAAAGCUCGUAGUUGAACCUUGGGCCUGGCUGGCCGGUCCGCCUCACCGCGUGUACUGGUCCGGCCGGGCCUUUCCUUCUGGGGAACCUCAUGCCCUUCACUGGGCGUGUUGGGGAACCAGGACUUUUACUUUGGAAAAAUUAGAGUGUUCAAAGCAGG